Molecule: ribosomal RNA, 484 nt
Filed under: uncultured bacterium
Lineage: Bacteria
Description: partial 16S ribosomal RNA
Rfam family: Bacterial small subunit ribosomal RNA
Source: RNAcentral
AUUGAACGCUGGCGGCAGGCCUAACACAUGCCAGUCGAGCGGAUGAAGGGAGCUUGCUCCUGGAUUCAGCGGCGGACGGGUGAGUAAUGCCUAGGAAUCUGCCUGGUAGUGGGGGAUAACGUCCGGAAACGGGCGCUAAUACCGCAUACGUCCUGAGGGAGAAAGUGGGGGAUCUUCGGACCUCACGCUAUCAGAUGAGCCUAGGUCGGAUUAGCUAGUUGGUGGGGUAAAGGCCUACCAAGGCGACGAUCCGUAACUGGUCUGAGAAGAUGAUCAGUCACACUGGAACUGAGACACGGUCCAGACUCCUACGGGAGGCAGCAGUGGGGAAUAUUGGACAAUGGGCGAAAGCCUGAUCCAGCCAUGCCGCGUGUGUGAAGAAGGUCUUCGGAUUGUAAAGCACUUUAAGUUGGGAGGAAGGGCAGUAAGUUAAUACCUUGCUGUUUUGACGUUACCAACAGAAUAAGCACCGGCUAACUUCGUG